RNAcentral lists this ribosomal RNA (497 nucleotides) under uncultured bacterium. RNAcentral describes it as "partial 16S ribosomal RNA". It matches the Rfam family "Bacterial small subunit ribosomal RNA", at positions 28 to 507 of the family's 1533-position model. The record is from RNAcentral.
GAUGAACGCUGGCGGCGUGCCUAAUACAUGCAAGUCGAGCGAACAGACGAGGAGCUUGCUCCUCUGACGUUAGCGGCGGACGGGUGAGUAACACGUGGAUAACCUACCUAUAAGACUGGGAUAACUUCGGGAAACCGGAGCUAAUACCGGAUAAUAUAUUGAACCGCAUGGUUCAAUAGUGAAAGACGGUUUUGCUGUCACUUAUAGAUGGAUCCGCGCCGCAUUAGCUAGUUGGUAAGGUAACGGCUUACCAAGGCAACGAUGCGUAGCCGACCUGAGAGGGUGAUCGGCCACACUGGAACUUAGACACGGUCCAGACUCCUACGGGAGGCAGCAGUAGGGAAUCUUCCGCAAUGGGCGGAAGCUUGACGGAGCAACGCCGCGUGAGUGAUGAAGGUCUUCGGAUCGUAAAACUCUGUUAUUAGGGAAGAACAAAUGUGUAAGUAACUAUGCACGUCUUGACGGUACCUAAUCAGAAAGCCACGGCUAACUACGUG